Long non-coding RNA from Drosophila biarmipes, 813 nucleotides. RefSeq lists it as uncharacterized. The record is from RefSeq and is a predicted model, not a curated record. The transcript is spliced from 2 exons. Lineage: Eukaryota; Metazoa; Arthropoda; Insecta; Diptera; Drosophilidae.
CUCACAUAAUAAGUCAAAAAGAGGAUUACCUUUUAUAAUAUAUACAAAAAAUAUAUAUUCACCAGCUACAACAUCAAAACUCUGUUCCUUUUUCCUACAAAUUAUUUCGGUAGUUUCGGUAUAGAAGCCCUGUGAUGAUAAAUCUGAGGAAAUUAACCGACUUGCCAUUUGAGGUCCUCGACCUAGUCUUUUCGGAAUUAAGUCUCAAAAAGAAACUGGAACUGGCUCAGGCUCAUGAGUAUCUAGGAAACGCAUUUUCCUAUCACAGUAGAGAAAAUUACAAGAGCUUAAGAGAUAUUUUCAAAUCAUAUUCCGGCUUACCCACAGAAUUGUGGGAGGUUCUUUUGAAGUAUUGCGGUUCUACCAUCAAGGAAUUGAUAUGGGAUGAUCAUUUGGCACUUGCAAUUCAGCAGUACUGCCCAAACCUAGAAUCCGUAUUUAUUUAUGUGCAUCCGGGAUCAUAUGACACCAUCCAGGAUUUCUUAAUCGAGCGAAAGGACUCCCUUAAAUUUAUUGAAAUAAUUUUACAAAGCGAUGUCCCCAUAAGAAUCUUGAAUUUGGUGACCGGUAUGACCAACCUUACAAAAUUCUAAAUAAGUAAGCAUCUAGAUGAUAGAUGGAAUAAGAAAUGUAAGCAGGAGUUGAAUAUCGAACGUCUUGCAGAUGAGUACGAACCUUGUGUGAACGUAUUUCGAAUUGGUUCUUCAGCAGGGACUUAUGGUGUAGUUACACUGCCCAAAUUAUUGUAAGAUUUGUAUUGUAUCUAUGUGUCUUAUAAUAAAAAAAUAUAUACUCAUGCAUUUUCGGAACCCA